GACAGAUGUUAACACUGAAGCAGUUCAUCCGUUCACCUUCAGCCCUCCUCAGUCCUCAGGUGAUGAUGAAACACCACCACCAACAACAACUGCAACAUCACCAAUAACAACUGCAACAUCACCAAUAACAACUGAAUCACCAUCAACAACAGGAAAACAUUGGACAUCAGUGAAAAUGAGCACAUCGGAAGUUACUAACCAAACUGCAUCUGAUAACGACAAAAAUGGAACAAGACAAGGCUGGUGGAGGAUCAUUUAUGUGUCUGUGGGUUUAGCAGCACUCAUUAUAAGUGCCGUCACAGUCAGCAUGUGGACAAGAACUGGAG
Plectropomus leopardus (leopard coralgrouper) is the source of this 326-nucleotide non-coding RNA. Lineage: Eukaryota; Metazoa; Chordata; Actinopteri; Perciformes; Serranidae. The record is from RefSeq and is a predicted model, not a curated record.